This 254-nucleotide ribosomal RNA is filed under the name uncultured bacterium. Its description in RNAcentral is "partial 16S ribosomal RNA". It matches the Rfam family "Bacterial small subunit ribosomal RNA", at positions 524 to 777 of the family's 1533-position model. The record is from RNAcentral.
UACGAACUGUGCAAACGUUAUUCGGAUUCACUGGGCUUAAAGGGUGCGUAGGCGGCCAUGUAAGUAGGGUGUGAAAUCCCCCGGCUUAACCGGGGAACUGCGCCCUAAACUGUAUGGCUGGAGUGAGAUAGGGGUGUGUGGAACUUCCGGUGGAGCGGUGAAAUGUGUUGAUAUCGGAAGGAACGCCGGUGGCGAAAGCGACACACUGGGUCUCAACUGACGCUGAGGCACGAAAGCCAGGGGAGCGAACGGGG